AAGUUUCCACAGAAACUGUAAUGUUACCUAAAACUUCUUACAAGUCACUUGGCCGGCCCACAUGAAAGAACCACAGUGUACCAGACCUUCGACCAGAGAACAGAUUUUGUGUCAUGUUGUACACGCUAUUCAGUUUGGAAAUCUACCAAUUGGAUUAAAACCAAGAUAUGUUACUUAAAAAGAAUACAUCUGAUAUUAUCACCCACGAUCUUUUGUGCUGAGGAAAAAAAAUGACACACUGGCUGCUGACUUUCUUCAAUGAAAAUAUAAAAGAACAACUUAUUUAUCCUCUGCUAACUGGCUUGUUUUUCAGAGACUGAAUGAUUUCAUCGGAUGUUAAAAGAAUGGGAAAGAGCAGGAGCUCGAAGUAUGAAGUCUGAUCUUUGACUCAUCCAACCUAGGUGUGACCACUCAUCAAAAUGUCAUGUGCAGGCUCCAAAGCCAUUAGGAAUUCAAUAAAUCCACUUACCUCUCCUCU
This 478-nucleotide long non-coding RNA is filed under the name Rattus norvegicus (Norway rat). RNAcentral's name for it is "long non-coding RNA NONRATT030336". The record is from RNAcentral. Lineage: Eukaryota; Metazoa; Chordata; Mammalia; Rodentia; Muridae.